Molecule: non-coding RNA, 45 nt
Organism: Schistosoma mattheei
Lineage: Eukaryota; Metazoa; Platyhelminthes; Trematoda; Strigeidida; Schistosomatidae
Source: Rfam
AUCCAGCUGACGAAUCCCAAAUAGGACGUAACGCGCAUCCUGAAU